RNAcentral lists this ribosomal RNA (256 nucleotides) under uncultured bacterium. Its description in RNAcentral is "partial 16S ribosomal RNA". It matches the Rfam family "Bacterial small subunit ribosomal RNA", at positions 524 to 776 of the family's 1533-position model. The record is from RNAcentral.
UACGUAGGGCGCAAGCGUUGUCCGGAAUUAUUGGGCGUAAAGAGCUCGUAGGCGGUUCGUCGCGUCGGCUGUGAAAACCUGAGGCUCAACCUCAGGCCUGCAGUCGAUACGGGCGGACUUGAGUACUGCAGGGGAGACUGGAAUUCCUGGUGUAGCGGUGAAAAUGCGCAGAUAUCAGGAGGAACACCGGUGGCGAAGGCGGGUCUCUGGGCAGUAACUGACGCUGGAGGAGCGAAAAGCGUGGGGAGCGAACAGG